UCCCUGGUGGUCCAGUGGUUAAGACUCUGUGCUUCCAUCGCAGGGGGCAUGGGUUGGAUCCCUGUUCAGGGAA
Molecule: transfer RNA, 73 nt
Filed under: Bos taurus (domestic cattle)
Lineage: Eukaryota; Metazoa; Chordata; Mammalia; Artiodactyla; Bovidae
Also listed under: 2 other names
Rfam family: tRNA
About the family: Transfer RNA (tRNA) molecules are approximately 80 nucleotides in length.
Source: Rfam by way of RNAcentral